CGUGACAUGCUGCAGGCCAUCAUCAAGCUGUCCUGCGGCAUUGCCCACGACCACCUCCGCAAGUUGCCUGGCCUGAAGACAGCAGCCACCGCGGUGAUGCAGGAGCUGAUAGAUCCCUACUGCCUGCAUUCCGAAAUUCCUUCUUGUAUCCAGAGGCUCAUGGGGAAGGAUGCUGCCAGGUGCAUAGAGCCCGAAGCAGACACGCAGCCCUCC
Lagopus leucura (white-tailed ptarmigan) is the source of this 213-nucleotide long non-coding RNA. RefSeq lists it as uncharacterized. The transcript is spliced from 3 exons. The record is from RefSeq and is a predicted model, not a curated record. NCBI's taxonomy places the organism in Eukaryota, Metazoa, Chordata, Aves, Galliformes, Phasianidae.